UACGUAGGGCGCAAGCGUUGUCCGGAAUUAUUGGGCGUAAAGAGCUCGUAGGCGGUCUGUUACGUCCGCUGUGAAAACCCAGGGCUUAACCCUGGGCUUGCAGUGGAUACGGGUAGACUAGAGGCAGGUAGGGGAGAAUGGAAUUCCCGGUGUAGCGGUGAAAUGCGCAGAUAUCGGGAGGAACACCAGUAGCGAAGGCGGCUCGCUGGGCCAUUCCUGACGCUGAGACGCGAAAGCUAGGGGAGCGAACAGG
RNAcentral lists this ribosomal RNA (253 nucleotides) under uncultured bacterium. Its description in RNAcentral is "partial 16S ribosomal RNA". It matches the Rfam family "Bacterial small subunit ribosomal RNA", at positions 524 to 776 of the family's 1533-position model. The record is from RNAcentral.